UGGCGAACGGGUGAGUAACACGUGAGUAACCUGCCCUUGACUCUGGGAUAAGCCUGGGAAACUGGGUCUAAUACCGGAUAUGACUCCUCAUCGCAUGGUGGGGGGUGGAAAGCUUUUUGUGGUUUUGGAUGGACUCGCGGCCUAUCAGCUUGUUGGUGAGGUAAUGGCUCACCAAGGCGACGACAGGUAGCCGGCCUGAGAGGGUGACCGGCCACACUGGGACUGAGACACGGCCCAGACUCCUACGGGAGGCAGCAGUGGGGAAUAUUGCACACUGGGCGAAAGCCUGAUGCAGCGACGCCGCGUGAGGGAUGACAGCCUUCGGGUUGUAAACCUCUUUCAGUAGGGAAGAAGCGAAAGUGACGGUACCUGCAGAAGAA
This 380-nucleotide ribosomal RNA is filed under the name Arthrobacter globiformis. RNAcentral's name for it is "bacterial SSU rRNA". It matches the Rfam family "Bacterial small subunit ribosomal RNA", at positions 96 to 489 of the family's 1533-position model. Lineage: Bacteria; Bacillati; Actinomycetota; Actinomycetes; Micrococcales; Micrococcaceae. The record is from RNAcentral.